CCCGCAUCCGGCUCUGCUCAGCAGGGAGCUUGCUUCACUCUCUUUCUGCCUGCCUCUGCCUACUUGUGAUCUGUCUCUGUCAAAUAAAUAAAUAAAAUCUUAAAAAACAAAACAAAACAAAAAGAUGGCUUCUUGCAUUUGGAGAGUCUGCUGGAGCUGGUUCCAGAUCCAGAUCCAGAGCAUUCUCUUACUUUCUGAGCCAGAGGCUGGGGGUCCGAGUUGGGAUGCGGGCCUGUGGGGCUUGCUGUUGGGCACAGCGCAGAAGACCACCUCCCGAAGACCUAGGGAUUCUGCACAGAACAUGUCUGGUCUGAGAACUCACUGCGAGAGUGAAGGCUCCACCCUAUCGGAGAGACGAUCAGGCCACCACCAGACCCAGGGCUCCAAACCGGGGGUUUGCAACAGGCCUAGCUCACAACUGGUCUCGAGCAGAAGUAAGAAGGAAACACCCCUACCCCAACCCCAACCCCAGGCCAUGGAGCAGGCUCUGCUGUGCACAAGGGCCUGUGGGUGUCCUGGCAGACAGAUGAGGUGGCACGGGGAGCGGGCACUGAGGUGCCAGGGCCUCCUGGGGAGGAACAGGUGCAAAGCAGGGCCAUUAGCUGAGAGGGCGUGGGAGAGGCAGGCCACUGCCAUCCGAUCCAGGAAGCCCCCAGGACUGCAUCGUCUGCUGAAAACCAUAGACUUUUUAGAGAGACGGCAGGCUCAGUGUCCUCAUCGGUAACGGGCAACCGCGGGGUCAUCCUGAGGAUAAAUGAAAUAAAUCGUGUAAGUGCUUGGAGUAGCUGGUGCUCGGGCUUUGUUAGUCACUGUCGUUAUUGUUCAUAACAGUACUGGUAAUAUCACUUCAUGACUUGCCAUGAGCUGUCAGCCCCUUGAGGGUAGGGCUAGUGCCCGCUCUGUUCAUUGUCCUGCACCCAGAGCCUAGGGAUGUUUGGCACAUGGUGCGCACUCGUUUCCUAGCUGGCGAAUGAAUCAGUAAGAAGGAGGUGUUCGCCUCCUCCUUGCUCUUGUGAGCUCCUGAGGAUGGGCCCUUAUCUGACCCGCUUCUGUAUUUCUAAUGUCACCACUUCAUCUGUCAGAACCCGAGAGCUCAGCGACUGUGGAACACAUGAACAUGGUGGUGAGAUGCUGUCGCUCAGCCGGGGCCUGGCCCGGAGUCUGGGGGUGCGCCCAGCUCCAUGCUCUGGUCGGCUGGUGGUUAGCUCCCGCUCCAUGAAUUCAGUAAAUCUUCCCUUGACACUCCACCCCUGGAUGGUGAGCUCACGAUGGGGAUUGUGUCUUGUUGAUUUUUAAGUCCUUAGUGUCUAACACAGCACCUGGCAUACAGGAAAUGAUCAAAUGGCCACCCAUGGACACUUAGGUCCAACGAGACUCAAAGGAAAACCUGAGUCCAGAAGGAAUUUGUCACACACACCCCCCCCAUCACCUUCCAAACCUGUUCUUCCCUUAGAAGUGCCCCAUGUCUGUUGAUUAAAGACCUGGUUUCUGGAAUGCCUGGGUGGCUCAGUUGGUUGAGCGACUGCCUUCAGCUCAGGUCAUGAUCCUGGAGUCCCAGGAUCUAGUCCCGCACUGGGCUCCCUGCUUGGCGGGGUGUCUGCUUCUCCCUCUGACCCUUCUCCCUCUCGUAUAUUCUCUCUCAUUCUCUCUCUUUCAGAUAAAUAAAUAAAACCUUAAAAAAAAAACAAACAAAAAAAACCUGGUUUCUUGGGGCACCUGGCUGGCUCAAUUCAUAGAGCAUGUGACUCUCGAUCUCAGGGUGGUAAGUUCAAGCCUCUACUUUGGGUGUAGAGAUUACUUAAAAAAUAAAAUCUUAAAAAAAAACAACAACGACAACAAGAAAAGUCAUGAUUUCUUUGUUACCAAGGUCUAAAACUCCUCGGGGGUGCUAUAUCCUAAUGGAGAAGAACCGUCUUUAUGGUCAGACUUUUCUGGGCUUGAAUCCUAGCUUUGUCCACUACUGGCUGCCCCCUGGACAAAUUGUUUACCCCUUCUGUUCCUCAGUUUCUGCUUCCAUCAAAUCAGGAUUAUAAUACUAUCCAUCCAUUCAGUAAACAUUUAUUGGGUAUCUGUAUGUGGUCGGAAAUAUCCUAGGCUCUAGAAAUACAUAGAUGUGAACCCAACAAACAUUGCUCGUGUCUGGAUGGCAAAUUCUAACCUAGAGAGGGAGGGAGAGAGAGGCUAGGCUAAUAAGGCAGUAAACAAACGUAUGUCCAAUGUAUGUCCAGUGGUGAUAUGCGGUGUGAAGGGAAAGGCAGUGGAGUGGUCAGGCCAGGCAGUGUCUUACUUGGAUGGUAAAGAUUUCUAAUAAGGAGACCCAACACCUGGGGAAGAAUGUUCCAGGGAGAGGGAAGGAGCAAAGGCCCCAGAACUAGAGGUUGAGGAGUGACAAAGAGAGCCUGUGUGGCUGAAGCAGAGAGGUGAGAGGUGGGGGAGAGAGGACAUGCAAAUGAGUGG
Mustela putorius furo (domestic ferret) is the source of this 2457-nucleotide long non-coding RNA. The record is from Ensembl. NCBI's taxonomy places the organism in Eukaryota, Metazoa, Chordata, Mammalia, Carnivora, Mustelidae.